GCUCCUAGUACGAGAGGACCGGAGUGGACGAACCUCUGGUGUUCCGGUUGUGACGCCAGUCGCAUUGCCGGGUAGCUACGUUCGGACGGGAUAACCGCUGAAAGCAUCUAAGCGGGAAGCCCCUCCCAAGACUAGUUCUCCCUGACCCCUUGAGGGUCCUAAAGAGCCGUCCAAGACUAGGACGUUGAUAGGCUGGGUGUGGAAGCGUUGUAAGGCGUUGAGCUAACCAGUACUAAUUGCUCGUGCGGCUUGACCAUAUAAUCCA
RNAcentral lists this ribosomal RNA (265 nucleotides) under Halieaceae bacterium. RNAcentral's name for it is "partial 23S ribosomal RNA". It matches the Rfam family "Bacterial large subunit ribosomal RNA", at positions 2674 to 2925 of the family's 2925-position model. Lineage: Bacteria; Pseudomonadati; Pseudomonadota; Gammaproteobacteria; Cellvibrionales; Halieaceae. The record is from RNAcentral.